CCUACGGGGAGCAGCAGUGGGGCAUAUUGGACAAUGGGCGAAAGCCUGAUCCAGCCAUGCCGCGUGUGUGAAGAAGGCCUUCGGGUUGUAAAGCACUUUCAGUGGGGAAGAAAGCCUUGGGGCGAAUACCCUCGAGGAAGGACAUCACCCACAGAAGAAGCACCGGCUAACUCCGUGCCAGCAGCCGCGGUAAUACGGAGGGUGCGAGCGUUAAUCGGAAUUACUGGGCGUAAAGCGCGCGUAGGCGGUCUGAUAAGCCGGUUGUGAAAGCCCCGGGCUCAACCUGGGAACGGCAUCCGGAACUGUCAGGCUAGAGUGCAGGAGAGGAAGGUAGAAUUCCCGGUGUAGCGGUGAAAUGCGUAGAGAUCGGGAGGAAUACCAGUGGCGAAGGCGGCCUUCUGGACUGACACUGACGCUGAGGUGCGAAAGCGUGGGUAGCAAACAGGAUUAGAUACCCCGGUAGUC
RNAcentral lists this ribosomal RNA (465 nucleotides) under Vreelandella stevensii. Its description in RNAcentral is "partial 16S ribosomal RNA". It matches the Rfam family "Bacterial small subunit ribosomal RNA", at positions 338 to 795 of the family's 1533-position model. Lineage: Bacteria; Pseudomonadati; Pseudomonadota; Gammaproteobacteria; Oceanospirillales; Halomonadaceae. The record is from RNAcentral.